UUUCAUGAUGUUGACUUCGCUACUAA
RNAcentral lists this non-coding RNA (26 nucleotides) under Mus musculus (house mouse). Lineage: Eukaryota; Metazoa; Chordata; Mammalia; Rodentia; Muridae. The record is from RNAcentral.